RNAcentral lists this long non-coding RNA (6863 nucleotides) under Solanum lycopersicum (tomato). RNAcentral's name for it is "long non-coding RNA (SLYC_LNC001381)". Lineage: Eukaryota; Viridiplantae; Streptophyta; Magnoliopsida; Solanales; Solanaceae. The record is from RNAcentral.
GACGUAUCGCGCGCCGUGAUGGAUACUAUAUUUCGAGGGACGUAUCGCGCGCCGCGAUGGUUACUAUUAUCGAGGGUCGUGUCGUGCGCCGCGACAGAUGCAUGGACAAAUAUGUCCCCCAUGGGUCCCGGACUGAGAGACAGCGGGUGUGUAUCACUAGGUCAGACAUGCAUCAUUAUACUUGACAUUGCAUUCCAUUACAUUGCACAUACUUAUCAUUAGUGAACUUGAUAUUGUGUUUUGCUGAUCUAGUGAUUGCCUUUUUGCGGAACUUGUGAUUGUUGAAUACUGAGCUUGUUAUUGAGGAUAUAUAAUUUGUUGAAGUGUUGUUGUUGAGGAUAUGUAAUUUGUUGAAGUGUGUUAUUGAGGAUAUGUAAAUUUGUGGAAGUGUUGCUAUUGAGGAUAUCUAAUUUGUUUAAGUGUUGAUGUUGAGGAUAUAUAAUUUGUUAAAGUGUUGUUGUGGAGGAUAUGUAAUUUGUUAAAGUGUUGUUGUGGAGGAUAUGUAAUUUGCCUAAAUGUUUUUGUUGAGUUACGUUCUAUGUAAACUGUGAGUUAUUAGGUUGGGCUGAUGUUUAUGCAGGUUGUAGUUGUGGAGGUUCGGUUGGGGUGGUAGGAGUACCCGUAUUUCAUCCCCUUAGCUUGUGUUUAGAGGUUUACUUGCUGAGUACCGUGUGGUUUGGUACUCACCCCUUGCCUCUACCAAUUUUUGUAGGUUAUUAGCCCGGACUUUUAUGAUAUAUUCUCUUCUUUUCCGAGGCUUUUUGGAGAUUUUGUGAGGUAGUUGUUGGUCAUCUCAGCAUCCCUCCUUACUCUUGUUUAUGAUUUUGUUCUAUUCUAGAAACAAUAUCAUAUGAGACUUAUAUUUUCUUUUGAUCCGAUUGUAAUAAUUUAGAGGCUUGUACACGUGACAACUAGGUUUUGGGGUAUAAUGUAAUUUGAUAGUAAAUUUUCCGCAUUUUUAUUGUAAUAGUUGAGUUUUAGGCUUACUUGUCUUGGUGGGAUAAGACGAGUGCCAUCACGUCCAUUUUUGGGUCGUGACAAAAUGGUAUCAGAGCCCCAGGUUCCUAGGUCUCAUGUGUGUACAAGUUGAGUCUCAAUAGAGUCUCGAUGAUCGGUACGGAGACGUCUGUACCUAUCUUCGAGAGGCUGUAGUGACUUUUAGGAAAUAUCUUCACUUCUUGGAUCUCUAUUGUGCAUAGUUGGUCCCAUUUUGAUUAUUAUCGCUUCACUCCAUUCGCUCUCGUUUAUGUGAUGACUCGUGCGUAGUUCCUUUUGUGAAUCAUUGGCAUGUCGUGUAUUGGUUUGAUGUUAGAUCUGGUAUUAAGGUGGAAAUGAUAUAUUUAUGAAAGGAAUGUGUGAUCAUAUUUGAAGGGGUUGAGUAAGGUUGGUUACCAUAGUAAAAUAAAUAGUACUUAUGUGGUAUAACAAUAUGUGGAGUGGUUCGACAAUUAGAAGUUAAAUGUUCAAAGAGUUGGCUAGAUAAUGAAUAGUGUAACUUGAAAAAUACCGUUGAUAUAUUUGUCAUAACAUUAAUGGGUUGCUUAGCGAAUGAUGUUGCAUCAAUUGAGGUCAAAAUCUCUUUUGUGGUUCCAUAGAUUGAGUGUAUACCAAAGAAAGUCAUGAUAUAACUAUUACAAUGGUACUGAUAGGUAUUUGGCUAGAUAUAUGGAAUGUCUUACUUUUGUUAUCGACAUGUCCUACGAAAGAAUAUAUAUAGCUUGACUAAAUAUGGAACGAAUUUGAUAUCAUUUUAAAGCUAUUAGAUAGGUAGAAAUGUGUAACCUAUUUGGAUAUGAUCCUCGGUAGGUAUGAUAUGUUCUAGUGGUGGAUGUAACGGACUUUCACGGUGUGGUACUAGUGGUAUAUGAAAACAUAUAUGUUAAUUGUUAAACAUGAAUACUAACUACAUAAGGAGUUAUAAGUUGUAUCACAUGCUCAUAUAAUGAGAUUCGAUGUUAAAUUCAUAUUUGGGAAACCAACUAGUUACUAUGGACACUUGAGUUAAACAUUAUUUAUAAGGAAGCUUUUAGUAGUGGAUUUUUGGUAUGAAAUUGAUAUGUUCAGAUUGUGAAAUGUAUUUUAUGAAUUUUUAAAUGAGUGGUUAUUUCAUCGUAAUGUCCAAGAAAUUGGAUCAAUAUUGAAUGACAAGCAUAUAGGUAAAGGAAGUCCUAAAGUGUAUACUUAUGUGAAGACAAUUAAGAGUUUUAGUAAGGAAGUGCGGAUAAAAGUGGGUUAGUUCUUUGGAUUGGAUUGGUAUAAUUGGGUUUAAGGAUUCAUAUUGAUGAAAUAGUUGACUUCGUGGAGAUAACAAGAGCUAACUAAGCAAAAUGAUAAUAGGAGUUUGUGAUGGAUUGCGAUUGAGACUAAAUCAUAAAAUAAGAAUUGAGGGUUAAACGAGUUUUUAUGGUAAUAACGACUUGCGAGCAUCUAAGGUUGUGGUUUUCCACUAUUUGAUGAACAAUGUGGUUGUAUGAAAAUUUGUAUGAUGUGUUGAAAAUUUCACUUGAAUAGAAUUGAAAGAAGCUAGAGUCAUAAAUGGAAAAAAUUAGUGGGAAGUAUUUUAGUCAUUGGAAAGAGACAAUCGAGGAAAUAGAUAUUUACUAUAAUUAUAAAGGACAAAGAUAUAUCUUUAGAGAGUUGAAAAUUUAGUUCAAGGCUACGUGAUUUCAUCUGUUUCAUUUUGGUUAUGGUAAUAGUGUCACACGUUCAUUAGAUUGAUAAAAAAAAUGUAUGUAUAUAUAUAUUGGGUAUGAAUUGAGAAAGAAACCUACACAGUUCGACUCGAGUGUGAUGAUAAGUUCUUUUAUAGUUUCGAUUACGGGUAUGAUUGGAUUUUUAAGAAAGGGUAUGACAAGGUCGAUGGAUAGGCGAUCAAUAAUAAGCUAAGAUGUCCAAAUAUGUAAAUAUUUUCUAUGUAUGAGCUAAUUUCAAUAGAUAAAAGGAUUGAGUUACAUAAUUGAAUUCAAAAUUCAUGUUUUUCAUUGUGAGUUUAGAUUUGUGGUAGUGUGUUUUGUCAAGGUAUGAAUUGGUAAGGGGUAAGAAAUGAUUGAUCACAUUGAGUAUGAAGCAUUUGAAGGACUUAAAAAUAAUUUGAGUAGUAAAUUUGGUUACUUUUGAUUGUUAUACGUAAAUGGGAUUUCAUGUAAUGUUUUUAUUUCAAGGAUAAGAUAAAAAUACCAUAGGUUGUUGGUCAAAGGAUAAGAUUGGUAAGCAAGUCAGCGAAGAGAAAAAAAGUUUGGUGUAUUGAAGAGUUCAAGGUAUUUAAAAUUUGUGUCAUCGAAAGAAUUUAGAAGAUGUGAAGGAAUAAGAAUACUCUUGGUUCUGAGUUGAAGGGUCUAUGAAUGGACAUAUAUAGUUCUAAUAUGACUAUGAUUGUGAAUCAAUUCGGUAUAAACUUACUAGGAAUUUAUCAGCAAUUUUUAUGAAGGUUGAGUGUUGAUUUGGGUAAAACCCAUGAGAUGUGUAAGAGUAUGUGUUGUUAUGUGAAGCUAAAUGGUUCAGAUUUUGUUAAGUGACUUAUGGAUACGUAAUAGUAUGGACAUACAAUUAUACAUGGUCAUUGAUGAAUUUUUUUGGAAUCACUUGUUGUGAUGUGUUACAUAGAUACGUGAUGGUAAAUAGAGAUUAUGUGCCCAUGGUAUAUAGAAUAAUUGGGGAGACCUAAUAUUUCUCUAAGUAUUGGCAUGACGUAUGUGAUGAUUAGGAAUGAAAAUUGAAGCAUCGUAUGUGAAAGUUGUGUGGAGUUGACUUCGGGUGUGAUUUAAUAGUUUGAUAUCAAUGGAAAGGUACUAUCAUAUUUGAAACUAGUGUUAUCAAUUUUUUUUUGUAGGACAUGUACUUGUCAUGGAAUUCUUAAAAAGAAAGAGAGGUAGCCAUAGUUUGAAAAUUUUGGAGGAAAUAAUGUGUUUGUUAAGAACAUUUUAAUACUAGUGACGAUUUGAGAAUAAGAUAAAUGGUUGUUGCGACUAUGAAGUUCUUUUAGAAUUAAAAGUGUUGACCUUAGUGAAGUAUUGUAAAAAAAAGUUGUGGUUCGAUAAAACAAGUAUGUGAGAAAUUAUAAUCUAGACUAAAUUGGUGAUUGUGGGUAACUAGAAAAUUAAAGAGAUAGAGUCAAAUAAAUGCAAAUGUUUGAUAUGGGCACUAUGAAAAGAAGUAUCUAGUCUUAUUCGACUCUGAUUUUAUAAAUUCUUAUAUGACCAUUUACUUCAUAUUGGAUAUGGUUUAGAGUGUGAUUUGCUACCUAUACACAUACAGGUUUUAUAAUUACGGCUGAAUUUCUAGUGGUGGAUCGGGUGUAGUGAUCCUGUAAUUGUCCUCUUGGUAGGAUUUCAUCCUUGGUUAGACUUAUUCCCUUCAGUUAUGACAUAUAGGGUGUUUUUUGGAAAAACUAGAAGUAAAAGAUUUGUUUCUAUAUGCACGGUCAUGCUUAUGAGAACUUAUAGUAGAGAUUUCGUGAGUAGAAACAGUUAUCCGACUGUGUUGUUAAAGAUUUUGCAUCCUGGAAUAUAACACUUGAUCUUGUUCUUCUCUGGGUUAGAUCAGUUUGAUUCUCCCUUCAUGAGUACCAAUGUCUAAAUAUAAGAUUUUUAUAACUUAAACUUGUAAAAAGAUUGUGUUCUGAAAAGGGAAUCGUUAUAAGAUGUAUGAUGGUUUGUGCACUAUCAUUAUGUGAUGAUUGGUUCAGGUUCACUUCUAGUUGUAGCUAGUAUCAAUAGAACAUUAUCUUUGCUAUGUGAGAAAGGAUUUGUCAUGAUUAUUGUGUUAUGGUCCAAGGGGUUUCAGUUUCAAUUCGGUUCAUGGGUUAGUAUGUAGCUUGACAAUCACCUCUGAUAUGUAGAUCUGUCAAAUUCUCUAUAGUUCAGUUCUUGGUAGCUGGUCUUGAUAGAAUGGUGUUAAAAAUAAGCUUUCAUGGAGAGAUGAACAACGACUCUCGAAGAUCAUGCAUUAGAUUUCUGAUAACGUCAAUAAUUCUUCCUUCUCCUAUUUUAUGUUCGAGGACGAACAUGAUUUUUAGUGGUGGAUAAUGUAACGACCCUCUUAGUCAUUUUAGAAAUUCCAACUAAUAUCUUUUAUAUUAACCUUUUUAGUAGAUUUUAUAAAUAAUUUAUAUGAAUUGUAAUAAUGAGUGACAUGAUUUUACAUUUAAUAAAAGAUUAUUUUAUUGCUAAAAAAUAAUUAAAAAAGGGAAAAGGAAUUAAUUAAAUAAAUGAAUAAAAUAAUAAUAAAAAAAGGGGCAAAGUGCCCUAGACUAUUAAAAAGCCGCACGGCUUAUAAGAAAAAGAAAGAACGAAACGAUCUGAGAAAAAAAUAUACAGAUAAGAAAAGAAAAGAAAGGGAGAAAAGAAAAAGAAAAAGGAGGAGAAACAAUGAUAUUUUUAUCUCGAUAUAUCAAGGUAAUUAUUCUUAUCCUUUCUAUUAAAUUUUUGAGUAACUAGGAAUAGAUUUUUAGGUUAAAACAUGUAUAAUUUAUACUAAUAUGUGAACUUGUGAACUUAGGGUUAUAAAUGUGUAUAAGUAUUAUGGUUCAAUCAUUGGACAAUGAUUAGUCCUAAUCAUUGGACAAUGAUUACUCCAAGAUUAGGAUUAUUAAUAGUGGAACGAUAAAUAUGAAUUAGAACAUUGAAAAUAAGUGGUUUCAGCAGAUAGUUUUGUAGUCCACCAUUGAUGUGUUGGGCAGUUAGUUUCGGCUUUAAUUAUUUUCAUUUGAUUAUCAUAUUAGGAUUCAAGUUUUGAUAUAUUGAGACAUGUGUUAAAUAGUGGGUGCAUUAUGAUAUAUAAAAAUCAUUAUAAUUAUGUUAUUUGGAGAAUUAAGAUUUAACCCUAAACUUGAAAUUCAGAAAAUAUGAGAUUUGAUCAAUUGGUUGGAAUAAAGAUUUAGAAAUUUUAUUAUAAAUUUGGAUGAGUCUUAGGUCUAAGCUAGAGAUAUAGCAAUAUGAAUGUUGUUAGUUUCGAAAUCAUAUCGUGGUUAUUUAUUUGAAUAGAUUUUAUUGGUUUGGAAGUCAACCAAAAGAGGAAGGCUCAUGUUUUGGAGUCAUUGUUCGACUAUUUGAGGCAAGUGGAUUUCUAAAUUCUUGUUAAGUGUAUGAAAUGCAUGUAUGUCCUUGUGGUAUAUGUUGGGAGUAACGGGAUUGGUGAUGGGUUGACUUGUCCACAUUGAUUAAUUCUAAUGAUGAAAAGAAUGGGGAUAACAAAAGGCAAUGUGAUUAAUUGUUUAUGUGUGUUGUGUUGAGAAAGGGUUAAAGGCUUGUUGAAUCAUUGUUGAUGUAACUUCAUGUUUGUGUGGUUGUGAACUGUGCGAUGUUAUGAAAAUGGUCAUCUCCUCAUUAUAUAUGUGAACUUGUCAUCUGCAUUAUUCUGAGGCAUUGGUUGUGGCAAGUGUUAUGUGCAUUGAGAAAUAAUGGGUACUUAAGAGGAUGUACCAUUUCGAGGGACGUAUCGCGCGCCGCGAUGGAUACUAUAUUUCGAGGGACAUAUCGCGCGCCACGAUGGUUACUAUUAUCGAGGGUCGUGUCAUGCGCCGCGACAGAUGCAUGGACAAAUAUGUCCCCCAUGGGUCCCGGACUGAGAGACAGCGGGUGUGUAUCACUAGGUCAGACAUGCAUCAUUAUACUUGACAUUGCAUUCCAUUACAUUGCACAUACUUAUCAUUAGUGAACUUGAUAUUGUGUUUUGCUGAUCUAGUGAUUGCCUUUUUGCGGAACUUGUGAUUGUUGAAUACUGAGCUUGUUAUUGAGGAUAUAUAAUUUGUUGAAGUGUUGUUGUUGAGGAUAUGUAAUUUGUUGAAGUGUGUUAUUGAGGAUAUGUAAAUUUGUGGAAGUGUUGCUAUUGAGGAUAUCUAAUUUGUUUAAGUGUUGAUGUUGAGG